This 496-nucleotide ribosomal RNA is filed under the name uncultured bacterium. Its description in RNAcentral is "partial 16S ribosomal RNA". It matches the Rfam family "Bacterial small subunit ribosomal RNA", at positions 29 to 507 of the family's 1533-position model. The record is from RNAcentral.
AUGAACGCUGGCGGCGUGCCUUAUACCUGCAAGUCGAGCGAACGGACGAGAAGCUUGCUUCUCUGAUGUUAGCGGCGGACGGGUGAGUAACACGUGGAUAACCUACCUAUAAGACUGGGAUAACUUCGGGAAACCGGAGCUAAUACCGGAUAAUAUUUUGAACCGCAUGGUUCAAAAGUGAAAGACGGUCUUGCUGUCACUUAUAGAUGGAUCCGCGCUGCAUUAGCUAGUUGGUAAGGUAACGGCUUACCAAGGCAACGAUGCAUAGCCGACCUGAGAGGGUGAUCGGCCACACUGGAACUGAGACACGGUCCAGACUCCUACGGGAGGCAGCAGUAGGGAAUCUUCCGCAAUGGGCGAAAGCCUGACGGAGCAACGCCGCGUGAGUGAUGAAGGUCUUCGGAUCGUAAAACUCUGUUAUUAGGGAAGAACAUAUGUGUAAGUAACUGUGCACAUCUUGACGGUACCUAAUCAGAAAGCCACGGCUAACUACGUG